GGAAAACAAGAGAAUCGAUACAAGUAUAAACUCGAACAGAACCUAAUGGUUAAAAAGCUCUCCAACUGUCGGAACUUUUCUUCGGACUUUGGCUCUCUGAUGAGACUUUAAAUGGGCCAGAGGUACCAAAUGGAUCUGCAUCAUCAAAAGAGAAGGCGCCAUGGCCGAAAUCUCUGGAGCUGCCAAUGGAGUCAAACCUGGCGUGCCUCUGGCUACUCUGGC
This 222-nucleotide unclassified non-coding RNA is filed under the name Hevea brasiliensis (rubber tree). The record is from RNAcentral. Lineage: Eukaryota; Viridiplantae; Streptophyta; Magnoliopsida; Malpighiales; Euphorbiaceae.